RNAcentral lists this ribosomal RNA (559 nucleotides) under uncultured bacterium. RNAcentral describes it as "bacterial SSU rRNA". It matches the Rfam family "Bacterial small subunit ribosomal RNA", at positions 338 to 916 of the family's 1533-position model. The record is from RNAcentral.
CCUACGGGAGGCAGCAGUGGGGAAUAUUGGACAAUGGGGGCAACCCUGAUCCAGCAAUGCCGCGUGUGUGAUGAAGGCCCUAGGGUUGUAAAGCACUUUCACUGGUGAAGAUGAUGACGGUAACCAGAGAAGAAGCCCCGGCUAACUUCGUGCCAGCAGCCGCGGUAAUACGAAGGGGGCGAGCGUUGUUCGGAAUUACUGGGCGUAAAGGGCGCGUAGGCGGCUCUUUAAGUUAGGCGUGAAAGCCCCGGGCUCAACCUGGGAACUGCGCUUAAGACUGGAGAGCUAGAAAACGGAAGAGGGUAGUGGAAUUCCCAGUGUAGAGGUGAAAUUCGUAGAUAUUGGGAAGAACACCAGUGGCGAAAGCGGCUACCUGGUCCGGCUUUGACGCUGAGGCGCGAAAGCGUGGGGAGCAAACAGGAUUAGAUACCCUGGUAGUCCACGCCGUAAACGAUGUCUGCUAGAUGUCGGGGGGUUGCCCCUCGGUGUCGCCGCUAACGCAUUAAGCAGACCGCCUGGGAAGUACGGUCGCAAGAUUAAAACUCAAAGGAAUUGACGG